CGCACUCUCACUCUGAACUCGUUCUCGUUCUCUCCUUUACCAUGAAAGCUCACGAUUGCAACCAUAUUUGAUCUCGAUUUCCACCGAUUUGAUCCUGAUUUCCACCGAUUUCCACCGAUUGCAACCUGAUUUCCACCGAUUUCAACCUCCACUGAUCUCUUCUGAUUCGACUCUCAAUUUCACUCUCCUGAUUCCACUCUCGAUUAAACCCUAAAAUCUUCUCUCAAUCCUCUUCCUGAUUCCUCAAUCUCCAGUGUUUCACAAGAAAACGCUCAAUCUCAGCUUCAUUUGCAUUUUACUGGUCCAUUUCUCUGCCCUCACAGUUCAAAAUCGUCUCAUCCGGUUUUGUAUUAUCUACUAAAUAAAAAUGAGGACCAUGUCUCUGUUAUCAAGGAGUACAGGGGAAAGAUUGAGGCUGAGUUCAACAAGAUCUGUGAUGGCAUUUCGAACCUUCUUGAGUCCAUAGAUGAUGAUAUUUAUAGCAUUUUAUUUAAAUGCUUGUAUAAAGUAGUAGUGGCUACUUUCGCUACUCACAUGCUAAACUAAAUUUGUGGUUAAUUGAUCCAGGAUAUUGUUCUUGCUGAACUUGCUCCCACAGUCCCACCCACCCGAUUAGGCUCGGUCUUGCGCUCAACUUUUCUGUGUUCUAUUAUGAAAUCCUUAACUCACCAGAUCAUGCUUGUAAUCUUCCAAAGCAGGCAUUUGAUGAGGUGAUUUCUGAGCUUGACACAUUGGGUGAAGAGUCAUACAAGGUCAGUACAUUGAUCACGCAGCUUCUCUGAGACAAUCUGACUUUGUGGACAUUCGACAUCACGGUUCUUUUGAGGAAUUUCCCGAAGAACAAGGAGCUGAUUGUGAAGGAGCGUUUGGAGAGAACCCUGGAGAAUCUACAGGUGAGGGCUACUCACUGAACUAUUAGUUAAUGCUUUAGGUGUCGACGAAUUCGACUUGAUUUAUUGUUUAUGCACUUGUUUGUGUUUGACUGGGAAAAAUGUUUUCUGAGGCUUCGGCUGACAAUGAUGAUUAGUCAUCUAUUAAUUGUUUUUGGAGUUUGAAUCACAUGCUACGUGUUAAGUGGUUAAUCUAGAAUGUGUGAUAUCUGCUUUACAUGCUAAGUGCUAUGUGGUUAUUCUAGGAUGUGUUGAUAUAUGUGACAUGCUUAUUGACUGUGCUGAUUUAACUAUGCUAUUACACAUAUAUCUGUUAUGCUUCAAAGUGAGGAUAACGGGCAUGUCAUGCCGAUUUUUAUAAGAGUUUGAGAAAGUUUGACGGGACGAAUGGAGUUCGGGCCUUGUUAGUGUUUUAAGUGGAUCGAGACAUUCUCUAGGGAUUACAAUGGGAUUAUGGGAUCUUUGAAACUCAUAGGAAUUACGAUAAGAUUAAAUGGAAACUAUUUUUUUACAAGGAAAAUUCAUAAGAUACUAAACAACCUCUAAACCUUUAAAUAAUGAUAACAAUCUCGGAUGCAAGCUUAGGACUGAGAUAUUAGUUUUGGAAAAGGAGGAUUGUCGUCGAAUCCAAGUUAUGGGAGAAUUGUAGGUUUCUGAGUAUGUUGAUACUCCUUCGCUCUUUGAGCAGUUUGUUUAGCCAUCCAACGGAUGAGCCGAGAAGCUUCACUGAGGCGUGAGACCUUGUGAAUGCGUGAUACUUCACUGAGGCGUGAGACCUUGUGAAAAGCAUGGAUCUUCACUGAGGCGUGAGACCUCGUGAACAGCAUGAAACUUCACUGGAGCGUGAGACUUUGUGAUUGUAUAAGCCUCCACUGAAGCGUGAGACUUUGUGAGAGCAUUGAUGACUCGAAGAGUUAUCGUGAGUGUUUGCACUCAUUUUACGAUUAAUUGUAUUUUGUCGCAGAAUCGACUUUUACCUUAGGGUAUUCUUUUUAGAGACAAAUAAGUUAGUUAGAACACGUGGCGACGUGUCGAGUGAGGUCGGAGACGUUGUUUGGCUAGUCACUUUGCAUUCAUGCACUCAUUUUGAGGUCUUAACACGAGACAGACUUCGGACCUCGGUGGAUUCCAAAAUGGUCAUAAGACCCGGUGUAAGGCCCAAGUUUUAACGCUUUGGAUAAGUGAAUAAAAUAAAAGAGUUAUUUGAUUAAGAUAAAUUUGGGAAGGAAAGAGGUUCAGGAAAAGUCCAAGAAUGUAUCGAAAAACCGAAAGAGUUAUAGCACAACUAACAUACGCUUAAUCCUAGGUCGAAGGUAUUAGUGAAUAGUUAAUUUACGCUUUAGGACACGAUGGAAACUAAUUCCAAAAAUUCUCAGAGAAAUGUUAGAACUUCUCUUUUCCGUCCUUAAACAACCAUUUCGAUGCGAAAUCCUGGAAAGUACGAACGUCAAAUUCCAAUUCUCGGAAGUUUGCCGAAACGGAAUCCCUGAUAGUUCGAAAAACCUAAGAUCGACAGACGAUGAAGACUUUUUCUAUCCGGAAACUCAAAUGAAGAUUCCACCCGCGUUCUCCUACUUCUCUCAUCAUUCCUAAUCUUUCUUCAGAAGGAAGUUUUCUCAUCCGACGAUCACUGCAAAAGUAGUUUUUCGGGAUAAACCGACUUACACCGACUUAUGCCGAUUUUGGAUCUUUUGGUUUAAUUCCAAGAAUCCUGUUUUGAGUUCUGGAAUUCUGUCGCCAGAACCUAUCUUAGAAUGCGCAGAGGAACGCGCAGGAAAAAUCGGAAUCGCAAAAAAAUCAUUUUUCCGUUUUUUCCAAAACCUAUAAAUAGCUUGAAAAUUAGAUUUUUUGCAAAAAAACCCAUUUUCCCCACCCCCAAAACCGCGAGUUCCUAGAGAGAGAGAGAGAUCCGGAUCUUCGUCGUUUCUUUCCCGUUUGCUUCACCGAUCGUCACUAAUCGAAGACCCCGAGGUAGGUAAUCUAUACUCUCCUUCGAAUCGUCGUUUCUGUCCAUUUCUCCUGCGACUUUCUGAGUUCAAAAUUUUGAGGUUUUUGAAAAACUGUUCAAAUCAGCUGAUUUCAGCGUCUAAACUUCUUCCCUGCAUGCUCCUGAGCGUGUUCUGCGGAUUAGAUUUUGUCAAAUGUCGACGAAAUGCCGCCGGGAUCAAUUUCCACCCUAAAUACCCAUUUUUCGGCAAAGUCGCAACCUUUACGCUCUAAUCUAUCGACUUGGCUUAGUGCUAGUAGGAUUUGUCGUCAUAAACGUCGUUGUGGACGUCCCCAUCCAAUUUGUUUUUCAAAAAUCCAAUUUUGAAAUUCUGAGCUAAAAAUAAUGACCAAACUACCCCUAUAUCAGUUUUCGAUCCGUAAAUUUUUCCGAGCCUAGAACCGUCUUAGUUACGGCUUAUGUUAACCUAGGAACCAAGUUUGAUCGAAGAAAAAUCGACCCUCCCAAUUAAGGAAAGUGGCCGAGAGCUAUAUCAAGGGGGGAGGAGAAUCCGAUUUUUCGAAAACUUGUCUUAACGCGUUAGAUUGUCGUACCAAGGAGGUAGUAGUGUACUGUGUAACCCUAGGACUCUUUGAUUGCUGAGUUUCUGACUCUUGGUGUUGAAUUCUGUGAUUUUUGCUUAAGGUUCGUUUGAGGAGAUUCCAAGAAAUCAAGGAGAAGAGUUUGGAGAACAUCUUGAGGAAGAAGCUGGAAGACCCACCGAUGAGUAUGGGGGAUUGGUUUACCAUGGUCAGCCCGUCGGGGGGGACCAGGUACGAGAUGCUUGAUCAAGACGACCCAGGUGCAUGGGUGGUCGAUCCCGAGGGCCACCGUGCGACCUACACCGGUCGGAUUAUGGAGGACCGUGUCGACCGAUUUGGACGCUUGACGGAGGGAGUGAUGAGGAGGCACAUAGUGAGCUUCAACCUGCCUCCAGGAGUACACUGUGGACCCGGCUUGGGAGUACCUCCACCGCCACCAUCCCCUUCAGAUGAUGAGGACCCCUCUGAGGAGGUGCCAGUAGGUGGGGCUUCGACGGAGUCUAGUCCGUCUACUGCUGCUGCUGUCGUCGCGGAUCUCGUUCCGGGCCCCGAGCCCGAGAGUCCAGUGCAGGAGCGCAUUAGGGUGGACAGAGAGGGCAGUGUUGAGUACGUCGACCUAGUCGUCCUGGAUGCAGAUUCGGAUGACGACCGUGCUAGCGUGUAGGAUCGAGUGCUAGUGUGGGCUCCUCGGGUAGGGAUAGUGUAGGAGUAGUGUCGAUGCUCUGACCGUCAUGUUUCCGUUUUUGGGGACAGGGUAGUUUUCCUACCGGUAGCUUUUGUGUGGUUUCCUAUGGAGAUCAUAGAGAGCUGGUUGGAUUUAGGGGGUCUUUUCUUAGGCCGCUGGGCCAACUUGCUCUCAGAUUUUGUAGUUUAGUGUUGCGGACACAGUAUCUUUAUCUUGGACUGUACAUAUUGCCUUCGGGCGUUACUCUUUUUCUGUCACCCGUCACUGGAGGUUACUCGUGACGUGGUAGUGUUUAGCGAGGCAUGUAUAUAUAGUUGUAUAGUAGUUCCUUUUAUCUUUUGUUGGGGAGUUUUAUUGCUUUCUGUCUUUAGUUAUAUUGUCGAAAAAAAAUAAUUCACGUUUUUCCGCUUAAAGUAUUUUCUUUUGGUUACUAAAGUGACGCCACCGAAAUCGGGGUGUUACACCCGGAUUUCCAUAAAAGAACACUACGGUGAUUCUUAGUAGCAGACGGAAAUGGCAGACCUUCGGGUUCACUGCUGAUCUGACUACACUUUGUGUGGUGUAAGAGACACGCGAGCGGAAAUGGUCCCACCGUUGCUGGUGCUAGGAUUGACUUGUUAGUGCCCAUCCGUUCCGGAAUGCAUUUGGUUAACCGGCAUCUGCAUUUCAUGCAACAUGCAUACUGACUUAGUUGCUGAGUGUGAUUGAUAAUUGUUAAUUCUAUUUGAUGCAUGUUAAUUGUCAUUAUUAUCGUUUAUAUUCAUUGUGAAAUAUACAACCCUAGGAUGCUAUCUCUAACUUAUAAGCCUAAGUGGCUACUCCUUAUCUUUACCUAUUGGAUUUAUUAUUUACAUAAUUCUUUGGAGUUGACCCUCGCGUCUUCUGUGUGUGCUUUGGCGGACUACGCACUUUGUCUGAUGUCCAUGGCGGACUGAAUCACGAUGGUUCACCCUUCGGGGGGACUAGGUUCGAGAUGCCGGAACAAGAGCGCAUCGCGGUAGCAAGAGGAGGACGGAAGGUGUACAUAGACUUGGUCGUUCUGGAUUCAGAUUCGGACGACGAUCACGCUAGCAUGUAGGAUUGAGUGUUAGUGUGAUCUCCUCGAGAUAGGAUUAGUGUAGGAGUAGGGUCGUAGCUCUGACCGUCAUUGUUUCUUUGGGGACAGGGUAGUUUCCCGCCUAUAGCUUUUUGUGUGGUUCCUCUACGGGGAUCACAGAGAGUUGGUUGGGCUAGGAGGUCUUGUUUUAGGCCGUUUGGGCCGCCUUAUUCUCAUUUUUUGAGGUAUAGUGUUGCGGACACUUGACCUUUCUUUUGGAUUGUACCUUUUGCCUACGGGCGCUACUUUCUGUUACUUCCCGUCACUGGAGGUUUACUCGUGACAUGGCUUGCUACUUACAGCGGGGGCUGUAUUUAUAUUAUACAUUAGUUCUGUUAUCUUUUGUUGGGAGUUUAUUUCUUUCAGUCUUUGGUUCUAUUAUCGAAAAAAAAAUAUAUUCACGUUUUUCCGCUUAAACUUUCUUUUUGGUUACUAAAGUGACGCCACCGAAAUCGGGGUGUUACAAUCCUUUUGUCUGGAUUUUCAUACUUGUCCUUUUUCUUGCAAUGCAGUAGUCUAGGUUACCUUUGAACUUAGUGGGGAAAAUUUAACUUUAUCCUCAUACUUGCCUAAACAAUGACAAACAAAUCAGCACAUAUUUUGUGAAGAAUCCAUUACAUGCCUAUGCUUUAUAGUAGCUUUUACUGUUAGUUAAGUUGGUUGUCUAUCAUGAAGCUUGCGGGCUUUUCCUAGAAGUAAGUAAGUAGACUUCUAGACCACUUUAUGUUUCAAUUCUCAUGAGGGAUGAUCAAUUAUCUAGAGAUGCUAGAGGUCCCUAAUGACAUAGAAAUAGUGUAAAUAAUCUCUUGCAUUUAAGGGAGGUUGAAAACUCCCGUUAGAAAAAGCUUGCGGAUAAGGGAGGUUUAAAACCCCCGCUAAAUUCAUAUGCAGGUACCAGGGUUUGCUGAAAAACGCCCGCUAAAUGCAAACAAAACCCCCGCUAAGUAACUCGCGGGGGUUGAAAACCCCCGCUAAGUAACUCACGGGGGUUGAAAACCACCACUAAAUGCAAACAAAACCCCCGCUAAAUAACUUUUUUUUUGUAGUGUACCGAUAUCGGAAUGACCUGAAACCACUUGGAGAAUUUAGAUAACUCAGAGAACUACAACUCUCCUGAAGGAAACUUCUCCAUAAAAGGUCGUUAAGACCUCUUAAAAAUUCAUACAAAGUUACGGACGGAUACUCAAACAACUCAAUCUUUAUUUUUGAAAACAAAAUCUUAUCAUAUCUCUUAGGAUUUAAAAAAAAAAAAAAAGAUAAAACCCUUAUCUUCUAAAAAAAACUAAAAUCAAUCAAUUUAAAUCCCUUUUUAAUAAAAGAAACUCAAUUUUUUUAUUAAAACAUAAAUAUCUUCUCUCAAUUUGUUGCAACUAACUCACAACAAAUCAAAAUCAUAUCUCCACAUCACUAAAACUCCUCACUUAUUAUUUAUUUCUAAAUAAUAAUAAUAAUUAUAAUAAUAAUAAUAAAAUUCAGGGUCUUACAGUAGCUCAUUUGGCGAGCUAAGGGAAAUGAAGGGUAUUGAUGAGUGAAAGGUCAGGGUUCAUACCCUGGGGAAGGAACUAAUUUACUAACAAUUAACAACUAACAUUUUCCUAUAAAAAAAUCUCUACUCCCGAAAUUUUGAAAGAUCAAAGUGUUUUUCAUUAGUCAACAAUCUUUCCGCACAUCUUGUUCUUCAUCACUAAUGUAUGUAACAUCCCAUUUUUC
Molecule: long non-coding RNA, 6910 nt
Organism: Lotus japonicus
Lineage: Eukaryota; Viridiplantae; Streptophyta; Magnoliopsida; Fabales; Fabaceae
Exons: 6
Source: RefSeq, a predicted model, not a curated record